UGUACAAUGGUAUGAACUAUACCAUCACAGUGAGAGCUGGUAAUGUAUUAGGAGGAUCUAAUGCUAGUUCAGUUGAAAUAGAUACAAUGCCAACAGUCCCUACCAGUGUACCUAAUUCUCUGUCUUUACUACAACCAUUUAA
Long non-coding RNA from Amphimedon queenslandica, 142 nucleotides. RefSeq lists it as uncharacterized. The record is from RefSeq and is a predicted model, not a curated record. Lineage: Eukaryota; Metazoa; Porifera; Demospongiae; Haplosclerida; Niphatidae. The transcript has 2 exons.